AUGAACGCUGGCGGCGUGCUUAACACCUGCCCGUCGAACGGAAAGGCCCAAGCUUGCUUGGGUACUCGAGUGGCGAACGGGUGGGUAACACGUGGGUGAUCUGCCCUGCACUUCGGGAUAAGCCUGGGAAACUGGGUCUAAUACCGGAUAGGACGAUGGUUUGGAUGCCAUUGUGGAAAGUUUUUUCGGUGUGGGAUGAGCUCGCGGCCUAUCAGCUUGUUGGUGGGGUAAUGGCCUACCAAGGCGUCGACGGGUAGCCGGCCUGAGAGGGUGUACGGCCACAUUGGGACUGAGAUACGGCCCAGACUCCUACGGGAGGCAGCAGUGGGGAAUAUUGCACAAUGGGCGCAAGCCUGAUGCAGCGACGCCGCGUGGGGGAUGACGGCCUUCGGGUUGUAAACUCCUUUCGCUAGGGACGAAGCGUUUUUGUGACGGUACCUGGAGAAGAAGCACCGGCUAACUACGUG
RNAcentral lists this ribosomal RNA (467 nucleotides) under uncultured bacterium. RNAcentral describes it as "partial 16S ribosomal RNA". It matches the Rfam family "Bacterial small subunit ribosomal RNA", at positions 29 to 507 of the family's 1533-position model. The record is from RNAcentral.